GGGAAUGGUUAAUUACCCGCAAAACGCCCUUACGGGGGAAAAGCAGGGGAUCUUCGGACCUUGCGCUAAUAGAUGAGCCUAAGUCAGAUUAGCUAGUUGGUGGGGUAAAGGCCUACCAAGGCGACGAUCUGUAGCGGGUCUGAGAGGAUGAUCCGCCACACUGGGACUGAGACACGGCCCAGACUCCUACGGGAGGCAGCAGUGGGGAAUAUUGGACAAUGGGCGAAAGCCUGAUCCAGCCAUGCCGCGUGUGUGAAGAAGGCCUUUUGGUUGUAAAGCACUUUAAGCGAGGAGGAGGCUACUUAGAUUAAUACUCUAGGAUAGUGGACGUUACU
RNAcentral lists this ribosomal RNA (335 nucleotides) under uncultured bacterium. RNAcentral's name for it is "bacterial SSU rRNA". It matches the Rfam family "Bacterial small subunit ribosomal RNA", at positions 152 to 479 of the family's 1533-position model. The record is from RNAcentral.